This 228-nucleotide long non-coding RNA is filed under the name Manihot esculenta (cassava). RNAcentral's name for it is "long non-coding RNA (MESC_LNC003210)". The record is from RNAcentral. Lineage: Eukaryota; Viridiplantae; Streptophyta; Magnoliopsida; Malpighiales; Euphorbiaceae.
UUGGCUUAUAUCCUUGCUAGUACAGGCCUUUAGCAUGACCUUCAUCUCCUCAAUCGGUUUUGUGGUGUCAGCGGUCUGUUUUCGAGACCGGUCACCAACCUCAUUAAGGUCUUUAUUUCCUCAACCGGUUUUGUGGUGCCGGCAGUCUUAUUUUUGAGAUUGGUUGUCCACCUCAUUGAGGUUUUCAUCUCCUCAACCGAUUUUGUGGUGUCGGCAGUCUUAUUUUCG